Molecule: ribosomal RNA, 468 nt
Filed under: uncultured bacterium
Lineage: Bacteria
Description: partial 16S ribosomal RNA
Rfam family: Bacterial small subunit ribosomal RNA
Source: RNAcentral
GACGAACGCUGGCGGCGUGCUUAACACAUGCAAGUCGAACGGAAAGGCCCUGCUUUUGUGGGGUGCUCGAGUGGCGAACGGGUGAGUAACACGUGAGUAACCUGCCCUUGACUUUGGGAUAACUUCAGGAAACUGGGGCUAAUACCGGAUAGGAGCUCCUGCUGCAUGGUGGGGGUUGGAAAGUUUCGGCGGUUGGGGAUGGACUCGCGGCUUAUCAGCUUGUUGGUUGGGUAGUGGCUUACCAAGGCUUUGACGGGUAGCCGGCCUGAGAGGGUGACCGGCGACAUGGGGACUAAGAGACGGCCCAGACGCGUACGGGGGGCAGCAGUGGGGAGUAUGGCACAGUGGGCGGAAGCCUGAGGCAGCAACGCCGCGUGCGGGAUGACGGCCUUCGGGUUGUAAACCGCUUUCGCCUGUGACGAAGCGGGAGUGACGGUAAUGGGUAAAGAAGCACCGGCUAACUACGUG